This is a long non-coding RNA of Diachasmimorpha longicaudata, 582 nucleotides long. RefSeq lists it as uncharacterized. Lineage: Eukaryota; Metazoa; Arthropoda; Insecta; Hymenoptera; Braconidae. The record is from RefSeq and is a predicted model, not a curated record. The transcript has 2 exons.
AAGGUAUUAGACCCUAUCGUAAUUAGGCCGGCUGGUACAGGUAGUAAUGCAAUAUAACCACAGUCCUAAAAAUCGCAUCAUUAAUCUGGCAGACCUGGUGCCACCGGACCCUUGAGCCCAGGAUUUAAUCUUCUACGCCUACAGAUCUCGAGUGAUUCUUCGUCGGAGGAAGACUGUCGAAGUAAAACAGAACGUAAAUCAAAAUCGAAAAAGAACAAAAAUAAGAAGAAGAAGCAAAAGGAGAAGUUGAGGAACAGGAUAAAUGAAAAGGAUGGCAAUUCUUUGAAGGAGGCUCUCAACAAGGAAGAGGAGAGCCAGAGGGAGGCGGAAAGACUCCUAAAAAUGGAUGAACGUAAGAGACCAUAUAAUAGCAUGUUCACAGCCAAGGAACCAACUGCUGACGCGGUGGAGGCCUUCCAGAUGAAGAGACCUAGGGAGGAUGACCCAAUGGCUAGUUUUAUUUAAUUAAUUAAUAUAUAUUUUUUUAUUAUUCCGAGUGCACAUCGGAAAUAAUUCUAAAGACUAAUUAUAGUGAGAAUUAAUAUGAGAAAUGUAUUAAUAGUACGUAAUAAAUAUAUUACC